Molecule: ribosomal RNA, 243 nt
Filed under: uncultured bacterium
Lineage: Bacteria
Description: partial 16S ribosomal RNA
Rfam family: Bacterial small subunit ribosomal RNA
Source: RNAcentral
GAUCAUGGCUCAGAUUGAACGCUGGCGGCAGGCUUAACACAUGCAAGUCGAACGGUAACAUAAAGAAGCUUGCUUCUUUGAUGACGAGUGGCGGACGGGUGAGUAAUGCUUGGGAAUCUAGCUUAUGGAGGGGGAUAACUACGGGAAACUGUAGCUAAUACCGCGUAGAAUAGGGAGAUGAAAGUGUGGGACCUUCGGGCCACAUGCCAUAGGAUGAGCCCAAGUGGGAUUAGGUAGUUGGUG